GACGAACGCUGGCGGCGUGCUUAACACAUGCAAGUCGAACGGAAAGGCCCUGCUUUUGUGGGGUGCUCGAGUGGCGAACGGGUGAGUAACACGUGAGUAACCUGCCCUUGACUUUGGGAUAACUUCAGGAAACUGGGGCUAAUACCGGAUAGGAGCUCCUGCUGCAUGGCGGGGGUUGGAAAGUUUCGGCGGUUGGGGAUGGACUCGCGGCUUAUCAGCUUGUUGGUGGGGUAGUGGCUUACCAAGGCUUUGACGGGUAGCCGGCCUGAGAGGGUGACCGGCCACAUUGGGACUGAGAUGCGGCCCAGACUCCUACGGGAGGCAGCAGUGGGGAAUAUUGCACAAUGGGCGGAAGCCUGAUGCAGCAACGUCGCGUGCGGGAUGACGGCCUUCGGGUUGUAAACCGCUUUCGCCUGUGACGAAGCGUGAGUGACGGUAAUGGGUAAAGAAGCACCGGCUAACUACGUG
Molecule: ribosomal RNA, 468 nt
Filed under: uncultured bacterium
Lineage: Bacteria
Description: partial 16S ribosomal RNA
Rfam family: Bacterial small subunit ribosomal RNA
Source: RNAcentral